GACGAACGCUGGCGGCGUGCUUAACACAUGCAAGUCGAGCGGUAAGGCCCUUUCGGGGGUACACGAGCGGCGAACGGGUGAGUAACACGUGGGUGACCUGCCCUCAGCUCUGGGAUAAGCCUGGGAAACCGGGUCUAAUACCGGAUAUGACUCCAUGACGCAUGUUGUGGGGUGGAAAGCCUUGUGCGGCUGAGGAUGGGCCCGCGGCCUAUCAGCUUGUUGGUGGGGUGAUGGCCUACCAAGGCGACGACGGGUAGCCGGCCUGAGAGGCGACCGGCCACACUGGGACUGAGACACGGCCCAGACUCCUAC
RNAcentral lists this ribosomal RNA (312 nucleotides) under uncultured bacterium. RNAcentral's name for it is "bacterial SSU rRNA". It matches the Rfam family "Bacterial small subunit ribosomal RNA", at positions 28 to 342 of the family's 1533-position model. The record is from RNAcentral.